UUUUUUAAUAACCAAACAUCUUGUGCAUAAAGAAUUCACCAGUUAAUAUCUAUUAAAAUACUUCUUCCGUCCUAUAUUUUUUUAAUAAGUAAAACAAAAAAAACUUCAUUGAAAAGUACAAAAGGUGCACCCAAGUACACAAGGUAUAUAAGAGAGUCACCUAUCAUUACAUUUAAAUCAAGAAAAGUUAGCCCAUUGAAGUCUAUAGAGGGUGUCCAAAGGAAGAAAGUAUUGAAAGAUAUAAUUUUGAAUUCCUGGAACGUCUGUCCACGAUAGA
Long non-coding RNA from Juglans microcarpa x Juglans regia, 277 nucleotides. RefSeq lists it as uncharacterized. NCBI's taxonomy places the organism in Eukaryota, Viridiplantae, Streptophyta, Magnoliopsida, Fagales, Juglandaceae. The record is from RefSeq and is a predicted model, not a curated record. The transcript is spliced from 2 exons.